GUUAGCGCGAGACAGUUCCACUGCCUCCUUUUCGACUCGCCUCGCUCCCAGGCCAGAGGGCUGCACUGCUCCGUGCUGUUCGGCGAGCUUUUCUAGGGACUGUGUUACUUGAUGACCACAAUGAAAAAUAGGAGCCAAGAUGAUAUGGUGACGGGCACACUCCCCAAGCUCAAGAGCUCCAAAGAAUGGUUGGAACCACAGUCGCUUUCUUUUAUGGAGGCUUUAGCUAAAGAAGAUACUGAUGCAGCUGUUCAAUCAAUUUUAUAUAGAGAAAAUUAUAUUAUGAAGGAACUAGAUAAGUAUUUACAUCAUCAAGACUUCUUAAACACAAGAAGAAAAGAGAUGCUGUAUAAAAAGUGGGUUGAACGUGUGGCAGAUCCUCUCCAGAAGAAAAUUAUAGAAAAAGUUCAUUCACAUAAGAACAUUAAAAAGAGGAGACGUCAAGAAUUAGACAAUUUUUUGAAACAUUCAAAUAAGAAGGGAAAUGCAUUUAUAGAGCAUUAUGAUCCAAAAGAAUAUGAUCCUUUUUAUAUGAGCAAAGAGGACCCCAAUUUUCUGAAGGUUAUCAUGCCACCGUUUCGUGACCCCUUGAAAAAAGCCCAAUAUGACCAGGAUGAUGAAAAAAGAACCCUUCUGCAGUGUGAGACUGGCAAAAUCUAUACAAUGAAAGAAUUUAAAGAGAUCGAGAAGGCCCAGUUGCAUUCCAGAUUCCCGAGUAUUUCUAAUUCAAGGCAAAGUAUGACUCCAAAUGGAUGGCUUAAAGUGCCCAUGAGUUAUAUAGAAAGUGAAUUUUGUAAAAAGAGCAGGUAAUAAUUGACAUGAUAGAAGGUGUGGUCUUCUCAGACAUUGAAAUUCUUUCUUGAGAUAGUGUUAUAUUUCAGUAAUGAUUUUUAAAAUAAAGUCUAUUGUGAUUCAUUGUUCCUCCGUAUGUGAUAUUUUUCUUGGGCACUCUCAAGAGUCUCCAGCCCUUGUUUUAUCAGACAGACUCUGAGGUAUCUGAGCUUAUUUCCUUUUCCUCUUAGAGUCUUCUGACAUUUUUGUGUUUGUCAUUAUAUAUAAUAGUUCAUUAAUUUGGGGGGAGGCUAGACCAUUAUCACUUCAAAUAUUUCUUAGGGACAAGUCUAUCUAUUUGUGGCUGUGGAUAAUGCCCUCAGGUCUGUAAGUCUUUGAUAUAGGUUGACUUUACCUUUUCUUCUCAUGUUUUGGUUAGAUGAUUUCUACUGAGCUAUCUGCAAGUCCAUUGAGUGUCCUUGUGUGUGCUGAUGAACCAUCAAAUACAUCAUCUGUGACAUCACGAUAUUUGGCAUUUCCAUUAGAUUUUUUUUAUAGUUUUUACCUUUUCUGAAAUUCUUCAUCCAUUGAUAUACACUGUCCACUUUUUCAACCAGAUUCUUUUCAAAAGCCAUACUAAUCUAGUUACUUUAAUUUCUAAUUUGAUAGAUCCAACAUUAGAUCAUUUCUGAAUUGGUUCAGUCCGGUUCUGUUGAUUGCUCUGUAUCUGCACUAGGCAUUUUAUUUUACCUAUUUUGCAUGUCUUAUAAUUUUAUAAUUUAAAAUUUUUAUGUAUAUGGGUGUUUUGCCUGCAUGUCUGUUUAUACAUUAGGUGUGUGCCUGGUGUCUACAGAGGUCAGAAGAGGGUAUUGGAUACUCUGAGCCUGGAGUUAAAUGUGAGGUACCAUGUGGGUGCUGGGCAUUGAACCUGGGUCCCCUGGAGGAUAGCCACUGUGCUUAACUGCUUAGCCAUCUCUCCUUCCCAAUGUUUUGUUUGUGUGUUUGCUUUUUGAGACAGGUUCCCACUGUUUCCAGGGCUGGUCUGGAACUCCUCAUGUACAUCAGAUUAGCCUCAAAUUUAACUCUAGAGAUCUUCCUGCCUCUGUUUCUAAGUGCUGAGUUUAAAGGCAUGCACCAGCACACCUGACCUUAGAUUUAGAUUUUAAAAAUUCAAUAUUAGACAUUUAGGGUGGAAAAAUAGUACAGACUCAGUAUUUUUCUUUAGAAACUGACCUGCCUCUUUUGUCACACAGCAGCAUUGGGAGACUUGGUUUAUUGGUCAGAAGAUCUAAGUUUGGGUAUUCUUAUAGUUGUUGUCUCUAGUAGUAUAUGGAUUUUAAGAAACAAAGAUUUAUUUUAUUUAUUUAUAUGUGUAUGAAAGUAUGCAAUGUGUGUGCUGCUCAUAGAAGCUAGGAGAGGGUGUCAGAGACUCUGGAGCUGAAGUUUUAGGCAGUUGUGAACUGCCUAUGUAGGUGUCGGGAAUUGAACCUGGGUCCUCUGAAAGAGAAGCCAGCACUUUUUAUGGCUGAUCUAUCUCUCCAGACCCCUGGACAGUUUGUUUUAGAAAGAUGUUGUUAUUUCUACUUUAUGUGUAUAUGGGUGAGCCUGCACGUGGAUCUGUGAGCAUGGGUGCAGGUUCCUGCAGAGUCUAGAAGAGAGUAUUGGCCAUCCUGGUGCUGGUGUUACAAGGUAACAGUGAGCUGUCAGAGUGGCUGUUGGGAAACAAGCCAGUCCUCUGGAGAAGACUUAGCAGUCCAGCUAUUUCUCCAGCCCCAAGAUUUUGGUUUUGUUGGUUUGUUUUUCAGUAGGGAUGUUGUGUGAGGGUCUCAGGAUAAUGGUGGAAAAAUAAAAUAAAAACAUUGAUGUGAUAAAAGAAAAGAUUUAUAUAGCUUCAGUACUUGGAGGGCCAAAAAGAAAGUCAGAGAAAAUUGGAAGUUGGAGCAUGUAUCCCAAAAUGGAGGGCAUCGUGCUUAUUGGCCACUAAUACUGAACCAGGCCUGCUCUACCACACCUGGCUUUAUGACUUCUUUUUACGUUAGAGUAUAAGCUCCCUGAGGAUAGAGGGGGGAUUUCAACUUUGCCCACCUAAUCUUGGUUCUCAGAGAACAAAGAACACAUCAGUCUUCAUUAGGGGUUUAAAACCUCUUAAGCAACUAGUAUCACUGAAAAGGCACAGCAGUGUCAAGUAAUGGUAUUUUGAACCAUAUUUAUGGCAGUCAGUUUCUAGCAAUAAUUAAUAAUAAUUAAAUGUAAAUGAGCAUUGUUUUGCAACAUCCUGACACACGUUCUCUUGUUAAAGGUUGAAAGUGAAGAUGAAUUUUAAUGCUAGUAGUUUUGAUUUGAGUCCAUUGAAAAGGGUGCCUAAUUUUCUGGAAUACCGGGAGGAAGAAAUGAUCAUUUACAAGUAAGCCUGUUAUUCUAUAAACCUGCUGUCCUUUCAGUUAAAAUGUUUGGCUGUGUUGCCUUCUCUAUCACCCUUCCAGAUCACUUGCAUUAAGGCCAAGGCCUCAACACUGUUCAGGGUAAGGUAACUUUUCUUUGGUUUUUAUGGGUUAAAGGAAUAAAGAGCACAGAAGCAGAAAGCACGACAAGGGGCUGGGAGAUGGUUGACAGCUUGUACUGAAGUUGUGAGUCUUAGCGAGAGACUAGUUCCUGUAGGCAUGGCUAGAGUGGAAGGUGCAGUAGGGCGCAGCAGGCUCACAGAACUACGCCUGACCAUGGGAGAUCUGUUAACUAUGCACUGACUUAAAAUCAGACAGUUCACACAUACAGAAGAGCUGUGUGUGGUAGGGCACACCUGUGAAGUGGACACUUAAGGUUCUUUGGAGAGUCAGUUGUGUUGAUGGGGUUUUGUUGGGGCAAACACAUGAAGGAGUGUUUUCCUGAAGUGGACACAGGUGAAAGACUAAGGCAGACUCGUGAAGGAACGUUUCACUGAAGCAGACACAGGAGAGAGGAUGUUCUGCUAAAGCAAGCAUGUGAAAGGACACUCGAUGAAGGAUUCAUUGCUAACAACACACAUGUAUUGGUUCACCAUACAUUGUGUAGUUGAGCUGCACUUGUUGCGACUCCACAGACAGAAAUGCACCAAAAAACUUCUGGUGGUAUGCUGCAGUUUCUUGCAGCUUCUGCGGACUCAGGCUGAUUGGCAGAGUGGUGUGAGCUGAGACAAACGCACAUGCUGAGGCAAGACCCGUGGAGGACUCCUGAUAUUUGGAGGGUAUAAAAUAGGACUCGACGGACAGUACUGAGGGCUGAGCUAGGCUUGCUUAUAGAGCUAGCUGUGCAACGCGUAUGGGUCUCUUCGGUGAUCUUCGCUUCCCUGAGAGAGGCACAGCCAAGAACUCCUGGCGUUCCUCCUGGUCCCUCCUGCUGACUCAUGCCAAGGCUGAGGCCUGGCUGUCUCUGCUAGGUGGUGCCACUGCUGCUGAUUCCUGUUUGCUAUCCAGACUCUACUGAACUGCUGGUGUAUCCAUGAAGUGUUUGCGAGUGGAAGGAGCUGCUGCUGCUGCUGCUGACUGUGGACUGAACUGCUGAUUUCCAGACAACACAGAUGGGAGUUGCUCCAAAGAACCUUUCUAAACAGAAACAAUGGGCUCUUCUGUGUGGACAGUGAAGCUCCAUGUCUCCUGGAGAGAAAGAACCCAAGUUUCAAAGAGGUCACCUCUGAAGGUCACCAUUCUGUAACCCUGUGCCAGGAGGUAGAAAGGGAUGAGAGCUAACCAGGACGCGGUGAGAGCUGGCAACGUUGGGCUUAGGUUGUGACACAGGGCGGCACUGGCUGACGUCCAAGGCUACGUUUCCUGAUGUGGCAGGCUCUUUAUAAGAGAGCAGGCAAUGGAGCAUCCUCCAGUGGGCGACAGGGCAGAAGAGACUGUACUCCACUCAGCCCCACCCUGACCCCCAUCCCUGAUUUUCUUGUAGACAGGAUACAUUUUGGGUGAAAAGUUUUGUGGGUGGGUUGGUACCCCUAUCACUCUACUGGGGUUCCUAUCUGGCUACAGGAGGUGUCCUCUUCAGGUUCCACAUCCCCAGUGUAGUGAGUCACAGCUAAGGUCAUCCCCAUUGAUUCUUGGGUGCCUUCCUUAUUCCAAGUCUCUCUCUGGUCCUAGAAAUGCCCCCCAUCUCUCCAACUCUGUCAGUUGCAGAUUUCCAUUCAUUCUUAUGGCCAACUGGCCAUCUCUCCUGAGCCAGGGUCUUGUGAUUUUACUCUUCCUAGCUUGGAACUUGCUGUAUAGACCAGUGUGACCUCAGAUCCACAGAGUUGUGGCUGCUUCUACCUAUGGAGUACUAGGAUUAAAGGAAGACCACACACACAUGCACACGCACAUGUUCUUGAUCUUUUUGUAAAUCAUGUAACUUACUUUCACACAUUUAAAGCAUAGCAGUUCUCAAAAGAUUCUAAGACAAGUAUAUUGUAUUAAUACUCAGCUAUAGUUAGCAACAUUUAGCUUUUAACUUAAUGUCCCAGAGGAACAAUGAAGUUGGAAGGUGAAUUAGUCCAGAGGUCAGAGAAGUUACUAGCUUGGGCAUCAGUACUUGAGUCAUCCUGAUAUCAUGUUAUUUGAAGCCAUAGGAUAAUCUGAGAAUGAGUGUCAAGAAGGUCUGAGGGCUAGGUUCUGUGAGAGGAGUUAGCUCUGGCCAGAGUGGCUUUAAGGACUAGCUCUCCUUAGCCAAGGGACACUCUGGUCCUGUAAGCACUUUAUCCCUAUGGCACUCUCAACUCUUUUUCUUUUGUCACUUUUCAAAGGUUUUGACAGCCACAUAUCCUGAUUCUUGAUCUGUGCAAGGGCACUGAAGAUGGAUGCUUUAGAGGAAGUUACCUGCUGGGAGGAAUCCUUUUGAGAGGGACAAAGGAAGACACUUAACCAUUCUGUUCUGAUCUUCAAUAAACUCUCAAUUGUUA
This is an RNA transcript of Mus musculus (house mouse), 5677 nucleotides long. It is a transcript of the gene named family with sequence similarity 228, member B, with no coding region annotated. NCBI's taxonomy places the organism in Eukaryota, Metazoa, Chordata, Mammalia, Rodentia, Muridae. The transcript is spliced from 8 exons. The record is from RefSeq and is marked validated.